RNAcentral lists this ribosomal RNA (1383 nucleotides) under uncultured bacterium. RNAcentral's name for it is "bacterial SSU rRNA". It matches the Rfam family "Bacterial small subunit ribosomal RNA", at positions 18 to 1394 of the family's 1533-position model. The record is from RNAcentral.
CCUGGCUCAGGAUGAACGCUAGCUACAGGCUUAACACAUGCAAGUCGAGGGGCAGCAUGGUCUUAGCUUGCUAAGACCGAUGGCGACCGGCGCACGGGUGAGUAACGCGUAUCCAACCUGCCUUACACUCUUGGACAGCCUUCUGAAAGGGAGAUUAAUACAAGAUGUUAUCAUGAGUAAGCAUUUUCGCAUGAUUAAAGGUUUACCGGUGUAAGAUGGGGAUGCGUUCCAUUAGAUAGUAGGCGGGGUAACGGCCCACCUAGUCUUCGAUGGAUAGGGGUUCUGAGAGGAAGGUCCCCCACAUUGGAACUGAGACACGGUCCAAACUCCUACGGGAGGCAGCAGUGAGGAAUAUUGGUCAAUGGACGAGAGUCUGAACCAGCCAAGUAGCGUGAAGGAUGAAGGUUCUAUGGAUUGUAAACUUCUUUUAUACGGGAAUAAACGGAUCCACGUGUGGAUUUUUGCAUGUACCGUAUGAAUAAGGAUCGGCUAACUCCGUGCCAGCAGCCGCGGUAAUACGGAGGAUCCGAGCGUUAUCCGGAUUUAUUGGGUUUAAAGGGAGCGUAGAUGGGUUGUUAAGUCAGUUGUGAAAGUUUGCGGCUCAACCGUAAAAUUGCAAUUGAUACUGGCAGUCUUGAGUACAGUUGAGGUAGGCGGAAUUCGUGGUGUAGCGGUGAAAUGCUUAGAUAUCACGAAGAACUCCGAUUGCGAAGGCAGCUUACUAACCUGUAACUGACAUUGAUGCUCGAAAGUGUGGGUAUCAAACAGGAUUAGAUACCCUGGUAGUCCACACGGUAAACGAUGAAUACUCGCUGUAGGCGAUAUACAGUCUGCGGCCAAGCGAAAGCAUUAAGUAUUCCACCUGGGGAGUACGCCGGCAACGGUGAAACUCAAAGGAAUUGACGGGGGCCCGCACAAGCGGAGGAACAUGUGGUUUAAUUCGAUGAUACGCGAGGAACCUUACCCGGGCUUAAAUUGCAACCGAAUAUGGCGGAAACGCUAUAGCUAGCAAUAGCGGUUGUGAAGGUGCUGCAUGGUUGUCGUCAGCUCGUGCCGUGAGGUGUCGGCUUAAGUGCCAUAACGAGCGCAACCCUUGCCGAUAGUUACUAACAGGUCAUGCUGAGGACUCUGUCGGGACUGCCAUCGUAAGAUGUGAGGAAGGUGGGGAUGACGUCAAAUCAGCACGGCCCUUACGUCCGGGGCUACACACGUGUUACAAUGGGGGGUACAGAGGGCUGCUACCACGCAAGUGGAUGCCAAUCCCAAAAACCUCUCUCAGUUCGGAUUGAAGUCUGCAACCCGACUUCAUGAAGCUGGAUUCGCUAGUAAUCGCGCAUCAGCCACGGCGCGGUGAAUACGUUCCCGGGCCUUGUACACACCGCC